This 4589-nucleotide long non-coding RNA is filed under the name Sus scrofa (pig). RNAcentral describes it as "lncRNA (ENSSSCG00005026743.1)". The record is from RNAcentral. Lineage: Eukaryota; Metazoa; Chordata; Mammalia; Artiodactyla; Suidae.
GGCUGGGGGUCGAAUCGGAGCUGUUACCUCCGGCCUACACCAGAGCCACAGCAACUCGGGAUCCGAGCUGUGUCUGUGACCUACACCACAGCUCACGGCAACACCAGAUCCUUCACCCACGGAGCAAGGCCAGGGAUCGAACCCGCAACCUCGUGGUUCCUAGUCGGAUUCAUUAACCACUGAGCCAGAUGGGAACUCCUGAAGGGAGUUCUCUUACAGCACAGCAGGUUAAGGAUCUGGUGUUGUCACUGCAGCAGCUUGCGUCACUGCUAUGGCACAGGUUCCAUCUGUAGCCCAGGAACUUCCAUAUACUAUGGGAGCGGCCAAAAAGAAAAAAAAAGAGCGAGUAUCUGUAGGAUAAAUUUCUAGAUAUGGACUGAAAGGGGUAUGUGCACUUGUAGUUUUGAUAACCUGGCUUUUGGCCACAGCGGUUCCCCCCCAGCAUGGCGGGGAGUGGUGUAGAACCCAAGGCAGACGUGCCCUUGAGAGCACGUGGAGAAGCUGGCUGGAGGCUCCUCUACCCUCGAGAAAUGACAACUGUCUCCACUGUCCCAUGAAAGGACCUCAGAGGAAGACCCAGCAGCCUGGCCCAGCGGGGGCACAGGCUUCGAAACAGGCACUGAACAGGAUCCUGCUUCUGAAUCUGACGGCUUUGAUGAGAUGGCUCCAGGAAAAGCUGGCCCCUCCAUCAAGGCCACACAGCCCCCAGAAGUGACUUAGAUGGGGUCCAGGUUUCACUGGCCUUCACAGCUGGUACAUACGCGAUUCUCAGGUUGGGCACGACCAACAGAUCAAACAGUAGGUGUGAGUGAAUUUGUUUGUUUGUUUGUUUUGCUUUUUAGGGCUGCAUUCGCAGAAUAUGGAGAUUCCCAGGCUGGGGUCCAGUCAGCGCUACAGCUGCUGGCCUCCACCACAGCCACGCCACGCAGGAUCUGAGCCACAUCUGCGACACCACAGUUCACAGCAACAACGGAUCCUUAACCCGCUGAGCAAGGCCAGAGAUCAAACCCGCAACCUCCUGGUUCCUAGUCGGAUUUGUUUCCGCUGUGACAUGGGAACUCCUCCCCUCCUCCUCCUCAAAUGCUGAGCUGAAGGACCAUUUUGAGGAAGUCUGAGUUCUCAGGGAAUGAAGUCACACCCGUCCUGGGGCUGCGUUUGGCGUCCUCGCCCUCUCCCGCGACAGUGAGCUCCUGAAACUUAGGGACUAGGGCUUCUGAUUUGCUUCGGCCUGACUCGCACGAAGCUGCUCUUUUCCAGUUUAGGACGCAGGUGGAUGAACUGGAGACUUACCUGCAGAGAAAACUAGUAGUCCUGUUGGGUGCUCGAGGCGGUGUUGACCCAGAUGUGCUUCCAACUGGCCCCCCUGUGCGUUCCGUUUACUUUUUUUUGGCCACAUCCUUGACAUGCGGAAAUUCCCGGGCCGGAGAUGGAGCCCUCACGCUGCGGUGACAGUGCCGGAUCCUUACCCGCUAGGCCACCAGGAAACUCCCCAUCUACUUCUAGAUUAAUUCAGAAACGUCUUCCUUUUCCUGUUUGCUUGAAUUUCUUGCUAAAUUCACUCCUCAAGCCCUCACACUACUAGCGAGUUAGUCGGAGUCUGAGGGUGGAUAAUGAUGGCCAUGCCUGGGUUAACAGAGAAUGAGUCUGCGUGCCCCUCGCUGAUGGGUGUGGCAUGGUGGUUACUGUGGCAGCUGGGGGUGCCAGGGAGAACUACACAAGGACAGAGGGAAGCAGGGAAUGUGGGGACCGAGUCAGGGUGCGCCACCCCGUACCCUCCUGCUUCCACCUUGAGAGGUCUUCUUUGACAUCUCAGCACAUCCCACCAGCCACUGCCACUCGAGAAGCUCUCGGGAACCCCCCGGGCACCACUCUCUGGCGACUCUCCUGCCACUCUGCCACUCCCCCUCUUCUUGGCUGGUCUCCCACCUUCCCUAGAGAGAGUUUUCCAGGCUCCCUCUUUGGUCCUGCUUUGCCCUCCUCUCCCUGGCUCUCCUCUCUCAGAGAACUCAUCCAAGCUCGUACGGGUGUCACUUCCAGGCAGGUGACUCCCCUCUGUCCCCUGGAGUCCACCCUCUCCUCUGCCCUUGCUCUAGGCUUCCGUAGCCUGCUAGCUGUUUCCACUGGAGGUCCUGUCAUUGUCAUCGUUUCAAACUGAACAUGCAGGAAAUCGAGCCUGUCUUCCCCUCCUAGUUGCCAUCUUUUCUGCUCACGUCGCCACCAUCCCCUCACUCAUCCAAGCUCAGAACCUGAGUCGCAUUUGAUGGUUGCUGCCCAUCCUUCCCAAAUGCAAGUCUCGGCCAAGUUCCUUUGCAGCCUCUCUUAUAGCUUCUUGUCCUUUGCAUUGUCUGCUAAUCUGGAGCCUCAGCACCCAUGUUUUGAAUAGUUCAUGGCUUCCUGCCUGCACUUUCUUCCUCAUUUGGUCUUUCAAACCUGGUCAGACAGAUUCUCCAGAAUAAUUGUUUUUGUCCUGUCCCUCUCCAAAAACGUUCAGGCUCUCUCAUCUCCAUAGAUGGGUCCAAGCUCCUUCGCCUCAGGUUCAAGAACCUGUGUUUGGGAGUUCCUGCUGUGGCGCAACAGGAUCAGCGGUGGAUUGGGAGUGCUGGGACGUAGGUUCAAUCCCCGGCCUGGCAUGGUGGGUUAAAGAUCCAGCGUUGCUGCAGCUGCGGCUUUGGUUGCAGCUGUGGCUGGGAUCGGAUCCCUGGCCUGGGAGCUCCAUAUGCCGCAGGUUGGCCAAAAAAGGAAAAAAAAAAAAGAACCUGUGUUUGCCCACUGACCUCGCUAGUGUUACUCCAGGCGAUGUGAGUGCAGGCACAGGAGCAAGGCUCUGGGAUCAAACCCCAUUCCCGACAUUCACACGCUGUGUCUUCCUGGGCAAGUACUUAACCUCUCGGUGCCUGAAUUUCCUCUUUUUAAAAAUUUUUAUUUUUUUUGCUUUUUAGGGCUGAAUCCACAGCAUGUGGAGGUUCCCAGGCUAGGGGUCUAAUCGGAGCUAUAGCUGCCGGCCUACACCACAGCCACAGCAACUCCAGAUCUGAGCUGUGUCUGUGACCAACACCACAGCUCACGGCCACGUGGGAUCCUUAACCCACUGAGCAAGGCCAGGGGUUGAACCCGCAACCCUACGGUUCCUAGUUGGAUUCGUUUCCGUUGCGUGACGAUGAAAUUUCCUCUUUAAACUGCUUUAUCAAACGUUUAUCCUCAGGCCUAGGAUUGCACCCAGGACAGGGCUGGUACCCAGCAAACACUGAAAUGCUAGCUUUGGGUUGUGCUGAUUUUCCUAGGGCGAGGGGGGUGUCUGCACAGCCUCCCUGGCGCACACCCGCCCCUCCUCACCAUCUUUGCUCAGCCCAGUCCCUCAGUCUAGAAUGUUCUUCUCUGCCUGCUGACUCUUAGUCACCCUUCAAGGGCCACUGAGCUCCCAUUUCCUCCCAGUACACCCCUGUUUGCCACUUUCUGCAGGGCUGCUCAGCCUGGGCAGGGGGUAGUGGGCGUGUUGCGGUGUCUGAAGCCAGCCACAGGCCACAGCACGUCUUCCUGGGGUUCAUUUUACUUGAUAAGUAAGUUCAGCUGUUUACACAUUACAGCAGCUACUCCAGACAUGUCAUGAAGCAGAGUGCAAAACUGGCCCAAGAUAAAACCCACAACUACUAAGAAUAUUCAGAGUGGUGGUGUCUUGGGCCACCCCUGGCCCCAGUGUUGAGUCUGCAUUCACCGAGUGGUGGAAGGGCCUGGGAAGCCGGGCGUGGUGCCGGGCGGCAGGGGUCAGGCAGGUGCAGCAGGUGCAGCAGGCCUGUGCUUAGGCUGUUGCCAUGAGGGGCUGUUAACACGUAAUCUCUCUCUUGCUGGAGAAUUUGCUGUUUACACUGGCCUGCUUGCGCCAGGGUAGCUCUUGUGUUACACUGGUGUUUUUAUGUUUGGUUUUGGUUGCGCCCUCGGCAUGAGGAAGUUGCAGGCCAGUGAUCGAACCCAAGCCACAGCUGUGACCACCAGGAAACUCCUGUGUUACACUGUUUUUAACUUUCCCCAGGGGUAGGUCUUCUCUCUUGUUGCCAUUCUUUACACCUGCAGCGUGCAGGUGUGGGGUCCCACGCCCUGGGAAGACAGACCUCUGUGGGGCUUGAUGAAGCAAGUCGCCCCUCCUCUCAGCCCCGGUUUCCUUAUCUGUGACAGUGCGAAGUACUCACCCAUAGAGGUUGUCCUGGGCAGACACCUGGACAACGCGAGGCACGGCCAAUGGCACAGGUUGGUGCUCAGUAAACACGAGCUCCCUCGCUGCCGUACCAAGCUGUCGGCAGACACCUGAUUCUCGAAUAGUCCCUCUCCUGGCCACUGCCCCCUGCCAGCGUCCACUCCACAUCCUCUGCCUCCCUUCCUGUCCCAGUGGAUGCGCCCAUCUAAGGCCACACUUCUCCUUGUGUAGUAGUCCUGGCCCUUCUCAGCUUCACAAGGACUUCACGUGCACCUGCCCGUCUCCCUUGGCCUUAGGGCCCCUCCCUAUUGGCUCACUCUUCACCAGGUAAUUAUGCUGUAAUAACACUCCAUGUAAAACAAAAGAUGACACAGAACAAAUAAAAACAUUCCUCGAUCCC